RNAcentral lists this ribosomal RNA (362 nucleotides) under uncultured bacterium. RNAcentral's name for it is "bacterial SSU rRNA". It matches the Rfam family "Bacterial small subunit ribosomal RNA", at positions 29 to 416 of the family's 1533-position model. The record is from RNAcentral.
AACGAACGCUGGCGGCAGGCUUAACACAUGCAAGUCGAACGCGUGCAGCAAUGCACGAGUGGCGCACGGGUGAGUAACGCGUGGAUAUCUGCCUUCUGGUUCGGAAUAACCCCGGGAAACUGGGGCUAAUACCGAAUGGUUCCUACGGGAUAAAGAUUUAUCGCCAGAAGAUGAGUCCGCGUCCGAUUAGCUAGUUGGUGAGGUAACGGCUCACCAAGGCGACGANCGGUAGCUGGUCUGAGAGGACGAUCAGCCACACUGGGACUGAAACACGGUCCAGACUCCUACGGGAGGCAGCAGUGGGGAAUCUUGCGCAAUGGACGAAAGUCUGACGCAGCGACGCCGCGUGGGUGAAGAAGGCC